This is a transfer RNA of Exophiala mesophila, 111 nucleotides long. It matches the Rfam family "tRNA". From Rfam's summary of the family: Transfer RNA (tRNA) molecules are approximately 80 nucleotides in length. Their secondary structure includes four short double-helical elements and three loops (D, anti-codon, and T loops). NCBI's taxonomy places the organism in Eukaryota, Fungi, Ascomycota, Eurotiomycetes, Chaetothyriales, Herpotrichiellaceae. The record is from Rfam.
GGGGGAUUGGCGCAAUGGUAGCGCGUGGCUCUCCUAUACUGGUAAAUUGAUUUUAUCAUUUCUCAGUGGUCAUCAAAGCCAAGGUUGUGGGUUCGAGUCCCAUGUCUCUCG